AGUGAACGCUGGCGGUAGGCCUAACACAUGCAAGUCGAACGGCAGCACAGUAAGAGCUUGCUCUUACGGGUGGCGAGUGGCGGACGGGUGAGGAAUACAUCGGAAUCUACUCUUUCGUGGGGGAUAACGUAGGGAAACUUAUGCUAAUACCGCAUACGACCUACGGGUGAAAGCAGGGGAUCUUCGGACCUUGCGCGAUUGAAUGAGCCGAUGUCGGAUUAGCUAGUUGGCGGGGUAAAGGCCCACCAAGGCGACGAUCCGUAGCUGGUCUGAGAGGAUGAUCAGCCACACUGGAACUGAGCCACGGUCCAGACUCCUACGGGAGGCAGCAGUGGGGAAUAUUGGACAAUGGGCGCAAGCCUGAUCCAGCCAUACCGCGUGGGUGAAGAAGGCCUUCGGGUUGUAAAGCCCUUUUGUUGGGAAAGAAAAGCAGCAGGUUAAUACCCCGCUGUUCUGACGGUACCCAAAGAAUAAGCACCGGCUAACUUCGUG
RNAcentral lists this ribosomal RNA (492 nucleotides) under uncultured bacterium. RNAcentral's name for it is "partial 16S ribosomal RNA". It matches the Rfam family "Bacterial small subunit ribosomal RNA", at positions 29 to 507 of the family's 1533-position model. The record is from RNAcentral.